RNAcentral lists this ribosomal RNA (899 nucleotides) under uncultured bacterium. RNAcentral describes it as "bacterial SSU rRNA". It matches the Rfam family "Bacterial small subunit ribosomal RNA", at positions 33 to 915 of the family's 1533-position model. The record is from RNAcentral.
ACGCUGGCGGCGUGCCUAAUACAUGCAAGUAGAACGCUGAAGGAGGAGCUUGCUUCUCCGGAUGAGUUGCGAACGGGUGAGUAACGCGUAGGUAACCUGCCUGGUAGCGGGGGAUAACUAUUGGAAACGAUAGCUAAUACCGCAUAAGAGUAGAUGUCGCAUGACAUUUGCUUAAAAGGUGCAAUUGCAUCACUACCAGAUGGACCUGCGUUGUAUUAGCUAGUUGGUGGGGUAACGGCUCACCAAGGCGACGAUACAUAGCCGACCUGAGAGGGUGAUCGGCCACACUGGGACUGAGACACGGCCCAGACUCCUACGGGAGGCAGCAGUAGGGAAUCUUCGGCAAUGGACGGAAGUCUGACCGAGCAACGCCGCGUGAGUGAAGAAGGUUUUCGGAUCGUAAAGCUCUGUUGUAAGAGAAGAACGAGUGUGAGAGUGGAAAGUUCACACUGUGACGGUAUCUUACCAGAAAGGGACGGCUAACUACGUGCCAGCAGCCGCGGUAAUACGUAGGUCCCGAGCGUUGUCCGGAUUUAUUGGGCGUAAAGCGAGCGCAGGCGGUUAGAUAAGUCUGAAGUUAAAGGCUGUGGCUUAACCAUAGUACGCUUUGGAAACUGUUUAACUUGAGUGCAUGAGGGGAGAGUGGAAUUCCAUGUGUAGCGGUGAAAUGCGUAGAUAUAUGGAGGAACACCGGUGGCGAAAGCGGCUCUCUGGCUUGUAACUGACGCUGAGGCUCGAAAGCGUGGGGAGCAAACAGGAUUAGAUACCCCUGGUAGUCCACGCCGUAAACGAUGAGUGCUAGGUGUUAGACCCUUUCCGGGGUUUAGUGCCGCAGCUAACGCAUUAAGCACUCCGCCUGGGGAGUACGACCGCAAGGUUGAAACUCAAAGGAAUUGACG